This 30-nucleotide non-coding RNA is filed under the name Mus musculus (house mouse). Lineage: Eukaryota; Metazoa; Chordata; Mammalia; Rodentia; Muridae. The record is from RNAcentral.
UACAGGAGUACUUUCCUGCUAAGGUCGUUU